This 500-nucleotide ribosomal RNA is filed under the name uncultured bacterium. Its description in RNAcentral is "partial 16S ribosomal RNA". It matches the Rfam family "Bacterial small subunit ribosomal RNA", at positions 30 to 523 of the family's 1533-position model. The record is from RNAcentral.
AUUGAACGCUGGCGGCAGGCUUAACACAUGCAAGUCGAGCGGGGGAAGGUAGCUUGCUACCGGACCUAGCGGCGGACGGGUGAGUAAUGCUUAGGAAUCUGCCUAUUAGUGGGGGACAACAUCUCGAAAGGGAUGCUAAUACCGCAUACGUCCUACGGGAGGAAGCAGGGGAUCUUCGGACCUUGCGCUAAUAGAUGAGCCUAAGUCGGAUUAGCUAGUUGGUGGGGUAAAGGCCUACCAAGGCGACGAUCUGUAGCGGGUCUGAGAGGAUGAUCCGCCACACUGGGACUGAGACACGGCCCAGACUCCUACGGGAGGCAGCAGUGGGGAAUAUUGGACAAUGGGGGAACCCUGAUCCAGCCAUGCCGCGUGUGUGAAGAAGGCCUUAUGGUUGUAAAGCACUUUAAGCGAGGAGGAGGCUACUCUAGUUAAUACCUAGGGAUAGUGGACGUUACUCGCAGAAUAAGCACCGGCUAACUCUGUGCCAGCAGCCGCAGUAA